UACGUAGGGUGCAAGCGUUAAUCGGAAUACUGGGCGUAAAGCGUGCGCAGGCGGUGAUGUAAGACAGUUGUGAAAUCCCCGGGCUCAACCUGGGAACUGCAUCUGUGACUGCAUCGCUGGAGUGCGGGCAGAGGGGGAUGGAAUUCCGCGUGUAGCAGUGAAAUGCGUAGAUAUGCGGAGGAACACCGAUGGCGAAGGCAAUCCCCUGGGCCUGCACUGACGCUCAUGCACGAAAGCGUGGGGAGCAAACAGG
This 253-nucleotide ribosomal RNA is filed under the name uncultured bacterium. RNAcentral describes it as "partial 16S ribosomal RNA". It matches the Rfam family "Bacterial small subunit ribosomal RNA", at positions 524 to 776 of the family's 1533-position model. The record is from RNAcentral.